RNAcentral lists this ribosomal RNA (305 nucleotides) under uncultured bacterium. RNAcentral describes it as "bacterial SSU rRNA". It matches the Rfam family "Bacterial small subunit ribosomal RNA", at positions 333 to 655 of the family's 1533-position model. The record is from RNAcentral.
UUAGUCCUACGGGGGGCAGCAGUCGGGAAUAUUGCACAAUGGAGGAAACUCUGAUGCAGUGACACCGCGUAUAGGAAGAAGGUUUUCGGAUUGUAAACUAUUUUAGACAGGGAAGAAAAAAGACAGUACCUGUAGAAUAAGCUCCGGCUAACUCCGUGCCAGCAGCCGCGGUAAUACGGAGGAUGCGAGCGUUAUCCGGAUUUAUUGGGUUUAAAGGGUGCGUAGGCGGACAGUCAAGUCAGCGGUAAAAAUGCGGUGCUCAACGCCGUAAAGCCGUUGAAACUGGCAGUCUUGAGUGGGCGAGA